UACGUAGGGUGCGAGCGUUAAUCGGAAUUACUGGGCGUAAAGCGUGAGCAGGCGGUGAUGUAAGACAGAUGUGAAAUCCCCGGGCUCAACCUGGGAACUGCACUUGUGACUGCAUCGCUGGAGUGCGGCAGAGGGGGAUGGAAUUCCGCGUGUAGCAAUGAAAUGCGUAGAUAUGCGGAGGAACACCGAUGGCGAAGGCAAUCCCCUGGGCCUGCACUGACUCUCAUGCACGAAAGCGUGGUGAGCAAACAGGAUUAGAAACCCGCGUAGUCC
This 273-nucleotide ribosomal RNA is filed under the name uncultured Comamonadaceae bacterium. RNAcentral's name for it is "partial 16S ribosomal RNA". It matches the Rfam family "Bacterial small subunit ribosomal RNA", at positions 524 to 796 of the family's 1533-position model. The record is from RNAcentral. Lineage: Bacteria; Pseudomonadati; Pseudomonadota; Betaproteobacteria; Burkholderiales; Comamonadaceae.